Molecule: ribosomal RNA, 278 nt
Filed under: uncultured bacterium
Lineage: Bacteria
Description: partial 16S ribosomal RNA
Rfam family: Bacterial small subunit ribosomal RNA
Source: RNAcentral
UGCCAGCAGCCGCGGUAAUACGUAGGGGGCUAGCGUUGUCCGGAAUUACUGGGCGUAAAGGGUGAGUAGGUGGUCAUUAAAGUCAGAUGUAAAAGGCAAUGGCUCAACCAUUGUAAGCAUUUGAAACUUAAUGACUUGAGUGCAGGAGAGGUAAAUGGAAUUCCUAGUGUAGCGGUGAAAUGCGUAGAUAUUAGGAAGAACACCAGUGGCGAAGGCGAUUUACUGGACUGUAACUGACACUGAGUCACGAAAGCGUGGGGAGCGAACAGGAUUAGAUA